Molecule: microRNA, 20 nt
Filed under: Carica papaya (papaya)
Lineage: Eukaryota; Viridiplantae; Streptophyta; Magnoliopsida; Brassicales; Caricaceae
Description: cpa-miR8141
Source: miRBase by way of RNAcentral
UGGAUACUAGUAGGCUGGUU